RNAcentral lists this non-coding RNA (23 nucleotides) under Arabidopsis thaliana (thale cress). The record is from RNAcentral. Lineage: Eukaryota; Viridiplantae; Streptophyta; Magnoliopsida; Brassicales; Brassicaceae.
GCAAAAUCACGUUUUCCCGCCAA